This 28-nucleotide non-coding RNA is filed under the name Homo sapiens (human). Lineage: Eukaryota; Metazoa; Chordata; Mammalia; Primates; Hominidae. The record is from RNAcentral.
UGCUGAGAGUGUCUAAGGAGAGCCGGGA